GAUGAACGCUGGCGGCGUGCCUAAUACAUGCAAGUCGAGCGAACAGAUGAGGAGCUUGCUCCUCUGACGUUAGCGGCGGGCGGGUGAGUAACACGUGGAUAACCUACCUAUAAGACUGGGAUAACUUCGGGAAACCGGAGCUAAUACCGGAUAAUAUAUUGAACCGCAUGGUUCAAUAGUGAAAGACGGUUUUGCUGUCACUUAUAGAUGGAUCCGCGCCGCAUUAGCUAGUUGGUAAGGUAACGGCUUACCAAGGCAACGAUGCGUAGCCGACCUGAGAGGGUGAUCGGCCACACUGGAACUGAGACACGGUCCAGAAUCCUACGGGAGGCAGCAGUAGGGAAUCUUCCGCAAUGGGCGAAAGCCUGACGGAGCAACGCCGCGUGAGUGAUGAAGGUCUUCGGAUCGUAAAACUCUGUUAUUAGGGAAGAACAAAUGUGUAAGUAACUAUGCACGUCUUGACGGUACCUAAUCAGAAAGCCACGGCUAACUACGUG
This 497-nucleotide ribosomal RNA is filed under the name uncultured bacterium. RNAcentral's name for it is "partial 16S ribosomal RNA". It matches the Rfam family "Bacterial small subunit ribosomal RNA", at positions 28 to 507 of the family's 1533-position model. The record is from RNAcentral.